This is a long non-coding RNA of Panicum hallii, 1506 nucleotides long. RefSeq lists it as uncharacterized. The transcript is spliced from 2 exons. The record is from RefSeq and is a predicted model, not a curated record. Lineage: Eukaryota; Viridiplantae; Streptophyta; Magnoliopsida; Poales; Poaceae.
CGGCCCGCAUAUGUGAGGUUGCCGGCUCGUUUUGUUCAAUACGUUGGCCCAAACCCCAGCGGUCAUUCUCCUUCCAUUCACCACCGCUCGCUCGUCUUUCUUGCCCGCUCCGCUGCCGCUCUCUCGCCUCGUGUGUGCGCUCCCUCACCGGAACCCGGCGUUCUGCCGCCGUGAGGAUGGCCGGACCUGGGUGCGCCGGCCAGAGCCGGCCUUCCUCCCCCUCCGGGCCUUGGUCUCCUACUCCCUCUGGUUCGGAGGAGGUCAGUUCGCCGGCGCCGACGGCAGAGCAGACCGACCCCUUCGAGUGCUGCUUCGCAAACCCGUGCCCCCGCUGCGCCUUCUACCAGCGCAGGUGGAGGACGACAUGCGCAGGGAGGGAAUCGAGCAUGGCCUCGGACGGGGCCGGAGGAGGGCCUGCGGCCGCUGGUUCUCCUUCUAGGAGGUCCACGGGCCAGCGCGGUGGAUCUGCUCGCGGUGGCUCUUCCGCGCGUGGGGCGGAUUCCGGCAACUCUGCAAGCAACAACUCAUCCCCGAACAAGUUGAGACCAAACACUCCGGUGAGUUUGGCCUAAGCAAAGCUAAUUCAAUGUUUUCAUUCUUUCAUGCUUUAGUUGUGUAAGUUAUUGUAAAUCACGCAGUACAAAUUGAGUCAGAUUUCAGUACUUCGAAGAAUACUCGUAUCUCUAUUUCGUAGAGUUUGUUUUGUUCAAGGAUUCAAUGGAUUUGGUGUAAAGUCUGAAUCUUUGAUUGGCAUCGUCAUUGAGUUCUGUACCUGAAGGAAUGGAGGAUUCUACUUGGAGGGUGUUGUUAAUGAAUCCUUGGUGCUUUGCCGCCAUGGUUUGCAUCCCUGUCGCCUCUUUGGCAAACACAUUGGGAGGCGCUACCUGGGAUGCAAUCCAGAGGACAAGUCCAAGAGGUGUGACUUUGCGCUAUGGGUUGAGACAUGGUUGGCCAAUUCAUGGAGAAGGCUGACUGCAACAUGGUGGACAAGAUGACAGAGCAGGCACUAAAGAAUGAGGUCAAACAACAAAAGGAGGCCCUGGAAGCUGAGAAGGAAGUAUGGGAAAUAGAGAAGCACGAGCUGAUUAUGGAGAAAGAUCAGCUAAGAGCUAGGUGGAGGUUCUCACAAUCAUGCUGCAGCGCCCUUCAAUCAAUUGUCAAGAACGAACUAGAGGAGAAGAAGACGGUUUGGAUAGUUGUUGUUUGCCUGAUUGGAACUCUGGUGGCCAUGCUGUUUGGUGUUAUCCUCGAGAUGAAAUGAAUGUAGGGAAUAUGAAGUUCAUUUUGCAGCUAUCUGAUGCUGGCUAGUUCAGGGCUUUAGGAGUGGAUGUGUUAUUACCUCAGUGGCUUUCUGUGUACUAGUGUAGUUCAUGGGAUAUGGGUUACUUUAGUUGGAGCUGGCAAUGAUGUGAACUUGGCAAGGUCACAAAACUUGAUGUUCCAUUUUGUGUCUGUCAACCGGCAGAUGGAUUAACAUGGUUGUUGUGCUUCUGCAAAAUGACAAGA